This is a long non-coding RNA of Chelonia mydas (Green sea turtle), 473 nucleotides long. RefSeq lists it as uncharacterized. The record is from RefSeq and is a predicted model, not a curated record. NCBI's taxonomy places the organism in Eukaryota, Metazoa, Chordata, Testudines, Cheloniidae. The transcript is spliced from 3 exons.
GGGAAGAUGCUGGCGGGGAAGGACGUGUGUAAGGAGCUCCUGCUGUGGACGGCUUUCAGCCUGUGCCAGAGGGGAGUGGACACGUGGACCACAACCUCUGACCCCAGCAGCCCACGGACCCCAGGGAGCAGCCAGUGCUGGGGAACUAAGAGAUCCCAAUGCCUCCUGGACUACAACGCCUGAGACUGUGGUAGGAAGUGAUCCAGGGGUGGUGUCGGAGUGGUAUCUCCCACCGAGAUUAUAUGGGGUCCAGUCUUGAAACCCCUCAACUGCAGAAUUAGACUCGUAGUUCCUAAAUUCACGUACUUCUCUGGAUCCACUUGUCUAAGGACCACGUGCUUUGCUGUAAGCUCUUGGUGAUGUGCUUCCUCCUUCUCUGUCCCUGCAACCAGAGGUCCGCUACCCAGCAGGGUCAACUCAGCCCUUCAUCUUUCUGAAGGUGAUUAAUCAAGUUCCAUGUAGUUUACUGUGGG